CCUACGGGUGGCUGCAGUGGGGAAUAUUGGACAAUGGGCGAAAGCCUGAUCCAGCCAUGCCGCGUAUGUGAAGAAGGCCUUCGGGUUGUAAAGCACUUUCAGUGGGGAAGAAAGCCUUGGGGCUAAUACCCUCGAGGAAGGACAUCACCCACAGAAGAAGCACCGGCUAACUCCGUGCCAGCAGCCGCGGUAAUACGGAGGGUGCGAGCGUUAAUCGGAAUUACUGGGCGUAAAGCGCGCGUAGGCGGUCUGAUAAGCCGGUUGUGAAAGCCCCGGGCUCAACCUGGGAACGGCAUCCGGAACUGUCAGGCUAGAGUGCAGGAGAGGAAGGUAGAAUUCCCGGUGUAGCGGUGAAAUGCGUAGAGAUCGGGAGGAAUACCAGUGGCGAAGGCGGCCUUCUGGACUGACACUGACGCUGAGGUGCGAAAGCGUGGGUAGCAAACAGGAUUAGAUACCCUAGUAGUC
RNAcentral lists this ribosomal RNA (465 nucleotides) under Vreelandella stevensii. RNAcentral's name for it is "partial 16S ribosomal RNA". It matches the Rfam family "Bacterial small subunit ribosomal RNA", at positions 338 to 795 of the family's 1533-position model. Lineage: Bacteria; Pseudomonadati; Pseudomonadota; Gammaproteobacteria; Oceanospirillales; Halomonadaceae. The record is from RNAcentral.